UACGGGGGGGGCAAGCGUUGUUCGGAAUUACUGGGCGUAAAGGGCUCGUAGGUGGCCAACUAAGUCAGACGUGAAAUCCCUCGGCUUAACCGGGGAACUGCGUCUGAUACUGGAUGGCUUGAGAUUGGGAGAGGGAUGCGGAAUUCCAGGUGUAGCGGUGAAAUGCGUAGAUAUCAGCAGGAAUACCCGUGGCGAAGGCGGCCCCCUGGGCCGAACCUGACGCUGAGGCGCGAAGGCUAGGGGAGCGAACGGG
Molecule: ribosomal RNA, 253 nt
Filed under: uncultured bacterium
Lineage: Bacteria
Description: partial 16S ribosomal RNA
Rfam family: Bacterial small subunit ribosomal RNA
Source: RNAcentral